This 497-nucleotide ribosomal RNA is filed under the name uncultured bacterium. RNAcentral describes it as "partial 16S ribosomal RNA". It matches the Rfam family "Bacterial small subunit ribosomal RNA", at positions 28 to 507 of the family's 1533-position model. The record is from RNAcentral.
GAUGAACGCUGGCGGCGUGCCUAAUACAUGCAAGUCGAGCGAACAGACGAGGAGCUUGCUCCUCUGACGUUAGCGGCGGACGGGUGAGUAACACGUGGAUAACCUACCUAUAAGACUGGGAUAACUUCGGGAAACCGGAGCUAAUACCGGAUAAUAUAUUGAACCGCAUGGUUCAAUAGUGAAAGACGGUUUUGCUGUCACUUAUAGAUGGAUCCGCGCCGCAUUAGCUAGUUGGUAAGGUAACGGCUUACCAAGGCAACGAUGCGUAGCCGACCUGAGAGGUGGACCGGCCACAUUGGAACUGAGCCACGGCCCAGCCCCCGACGGGAGGCAGCGGGGGGGAAUUUUCCGCAAGGGGCGAAGACUGGAGGGGGCACCGCCGCGGGGUUGAUGAAGGUCUUGGGAUCGUAAAACUUUUUUAUGAGGAAAAAAAAAAUGUGUAAGUACAUAGGCCCGUCUUGACGGUACCUAAUAAGAAAGCCCCGGCUAACCCCGUG